Molecule: ribosomal RNA, 270 nt
Filed under: uncultured archaeon
Lineage: Archaea
Description: partial 16S ribosomal RNA
Rfam family: Archaeal small subunit ribosomal RNA
Source: RNAcentral
CUGCAGCCCGAGUGGUGACCGAUAUUAUUGAGCCUAAAGCGUCCGUAGCCGGUCUGGUAAAUUCUUGGGUAAAUCGGGCAGCUUAACUGUCCGACUUCCGAGGAGACUGCCAGACUUGGGACCGGGAGAGGUCAGAGGUACUCCAGGGGUAGGGGCUAAAUCCUGUAAUCCUUGGGGGACCACCAGUGGCGAAGGCGUCUGACUAGAACGGAUCCGACGGUAAGGGACGAAACCCUGGGGCGCAAACCGGAUUAGAGACCCGAGUAGUCC